This 489-nucleotide ribosomal RNA is filed under the name uncultured bacterium. RNAcentral's name for it is "partial 16S ribosomal RNA". It matches the Rfam family "Bacterial small subunit ribosomal RNA", at positions 28 to 506 of the family's 1533-position model. The record is from RNAcentral.
GAUGAACGCUAGCGAUAGGCUUAACACAUGCCAGUCGAGGGGCAGCAUGGUCUUAGCUUGCUAAGACUGAUGGCGACCGGCGCACGGGUGCGUAACGCGUAUGCAACUUGCCUCACAGAGGGGGAUAACCCGUCGAAAGACGGACUAAUACCGCGUACACUUGGGAUAGGGCAUCCUGACCCAAGGAAAUGAAAUUCGCUGUGAGAUAGGCAUGCGUCCCAUUAGCUAGUUGGUGAGGUAACGGCUCACCAAGGCGACGAUGGGUAGGGGAACUGAGAGGUUGAACCCCCACACUGGUACUGAGACACGGACCAGACUCCUACGGGAGGCAGCAGUGAGGAAUAUUGGUCAAUGGGCGAGAGCCUGAACCAGCCAAGUCGCGUGAAGGAUGACUGUCUUAUGGAUUGUAAACUUCUUUUAUACGGGAAUAACAAGAGCCACGUGUGGCUCCCUGCAUGUACCGUAUGAAUAAGCAUCGGCUAACUCCGU